This 2871-nucleotide long non-coding RNA is filed under the name Homo sapiens (human). RNAcentral describes it as "HSALNT0313918". The record is from RNAcentral. Lineage: Eukaryota; Metazoa; Chordata; Mammalia; Primates; Hominidae.
UUGUGUGUGUGUGUGUGUGUAUGUGUGAAAAAUCAGAACUUGGUGAUGACCUUGAGCAACAGGAUAUACAUAACUGCCACAAGCUUAGCAUUCCAAUAGUGGAACACUAGGCAUAAAUGGGUUAUGGCUUCAGUAUCCUGCAAAAUAUCCCUGUAAGGUAGCUGUCUAUGCUUAAACACCUUGGUCUUAGGAAACUAGGAUUUGUGGAUAUUAGGCAAUGUUAUGGGCUGAUUGUGUCCCCUAAAAUACAUAGGGUGAAGCCCUAAGCUCCUACCAACUGUAUUUGGAGAUAAGGCCUUUGAAGAAGUAAUUAAGGUUUAAUGAGGUCAUAAGGUUGGCACUCUAAUCCACUAGGACUGGCGUCCUUAUAAGGACAGGAAGAGACAUCAGAGGUUCUCUUGAGCUCACAAAGAAAAGGCUGUGUAAGGACACAGCAGCAGAAGGCUAUCUGCAGCCAAAGACAGAGGCCUCAGGAAAAACCAAACCUGAUGACACCUCAGUAUUGGACUUCUAGCCUCCAGAGUUAUAUGGACCCACCUCUCUAUUUUCAAGAGCAUUAAAUUCAGUUAAAAACUAAAAACAAAAAUACUGCCAAGGGAUUGAGACGGUAAAGUAACAUCAUGCCUGAUAGAAUAAACUAUCAAGACAGCAUGAACAAACCCAACUGAAAUGGAACAAGCAAGCUUAACACAAGUCAAAGAAGCUCUCUAGAGUGUUAAAAUGAAAAUACAACUAAACAGAACCAAAACUGCUAUUCAUGGGAAUAGCAAAUGAAGAAUUUUCUUCAGAAUCUACACGGAUAACUUCUAUGAGAUUAUUCAAAAUGUGGAAAUUUUUUUCAGAAUUUUUGUUUCCAAAUGGAAUUUAAUACAUUUCAUGAAACAAAUGAAAUUUUAUCAGAAAUAAAACAUUUAAAUUACCAAAAGCCUAGCCUCCUUAGGAAGGCUGUUUUAGGAAGACAUGGGUAGAAAUAUUUUCAUCAAAGCCCUGAUCAUCUUCCCUUUUUGAGAUAAGGAAACUGAGGUGCAUUAUAAUAGCAACAGCAGCUGAUGUGUAGUAGAUCCAUACCACAAGCCAGACGAGGCACAAGUCAACCAGAGGUUAUGCAAUUAGCUUGGAGUCAAAGAGAAAGCAAGGAGUAGAGCUGAGAAGGAAACCCCAGUGUGAACUUGAUUUUUAUUCAAUCAAACUGUUAAGGUACCAACCACGCACUUUCAUCUAUAAUCACAAUGAACCUUUUAAUAAACAUGUUUCUAUCCUCUUAGCUUAAAAAAUAUAACAGUAGCUUUUUGGAUUUUAAAACAGAUUGACUUCUAUACUUCUGGGCUAAAGGCAGCUCAAGAGUCAAUAAGAAUCACAAGCUUUCCACAGUGAGAAGAAAGUGCAAUUGCCCAGUCCUCUCUAUCUAUGAAGUGCAGACAGUAUUCCUCUUCCUCACCUCACACUUUCGAUUAUUGCAAUGGUGGAAACCAUGAUAAAUAAAAGCGCUUAUCUAGUGGUUUGGUUUUCACUAAAAUUACAGACUUCUGUAACAUUAUUUGGAUACCAUAAAACACAAACCAAAUUUUAGGAGAUGCUUUAGGGUGUUUUUUCCCCUGCCCUCCUGUCGGAAGCCCUCUAUCUUUUUACUGUAAUUUAUCUGAUAUAGCUACCAAGAUGCUUGAUACUUUUACAUGCAAGGGUGCUGAAAAACAAAGAGCGAGGGAAUGGGUUGUUAAUGAAAUUCUCUGAUUGUAAAAAGCACUCUGGAAUGAUCAGGUGGUAAAUAAUAAUAAGAGGAAAUAACAUAAAGUGCUUAGGUGCUACAGCGAUAGUCACCAUAUAAAUGCAGAAGAGAUCAGACAUGAAUAGAAUUUGCAUUUUAUGCAGCUGCUGUGUGUGUAUAUAGAAUAUACAGUAGCUAAUUUUUCAAUAAUGCUGGUAAAAUAUUGUUCAAAAUCUAUUCUUGCUGUCUUCUCACUUUAAAAGGCAUUAUAUAGAAAAACACCCAUCUGUCCUAGUGCAAUGGUGAAUGUGUGCAAAGAGCCUAGAAAAAGAGCCUCUUUGCAUACGUGAAAAAAAAGAACUCAAAUAAAAGGAGAUAAUGAAGAAGAGACAAUAGUAACACUAUUAGAACAGCUAUGCAGACAAGCACAAAGGUGAUCUUUGAAAAACAUCAGGGAUAAAUAACUCUGUUAAUGUGUGGCAGAGAAACUACAGUUAAGACAUACAGUAAUAUACCAAAAAUAUAGACAUGCUUUUAUUUUGUCUACUGGGCUAUUGUGAUAGUGAUGGUUGUUUUUGAAUAGAAAGGAAGAAGAGAGUGGGAAGUAGGAUUUCGUUGUUUGUUGUUACUGUUGCUGCUCAGUUUAGAACAACAACAUCAACUACACACCAGACCCGUCCAACAGUUCCACAAACAAUGCUUACCAUGAAUCUGCCCUCAAUUUUCUUGUUGUUAUUUUCCCUUAAUACUUAUUGAUAACCCAAUGCCCAUUCAUUAGAUAUGCUAAAUCCUCGUCCAUGGUUACUCUCCUUUGGAAGAGACUGAGAAGAUGCUAAGAGGGAGUUCCUCUUACACAUAAGGGAAGAGUCUGUUUAGGAAUCUGAGAAAGCAGAGGCCAGGAUAAAGAGACCACUAGUCAAUCAAUACUAAGCACCGAAGACUGAAUCACCCAAAGAUACAAUUAUCUCCCUUCCUUUGUUCUGUCUCUUAGUCAAAUAAAGGAUUGUUUGUAGAACCUUUUCUGUUCCUGAUCUCUAAAAAGCAGGACUGGACUUGCACAUCCAACUAUAAUUCAAAAUAUCUCACACUUCCAACUUGAAAGAAGACAUAAACUGUUUCAAAGAAACUCAGAGAGAGCAAAUGCAUAUUCACAAAACUUACACUUA